RNAcentral lists this ribosomal RNA (522 nucleotides) under uncultured Glomus. RNAcentral describes it as "SSU rRNA". It matches the Rfam family "Eukaryotic small subunit ribosomal RNA", at positions 569 to 1092 of the family's 1831-position model. The record is from RNAcentral. Lineage: Eukaryota; Fungi; Glomeromycota; Glomeromycetes; Glomerales; Glomeraceae. RNAcentral also lists the same sequence under 1 other name.
AGCAGCCGCGGUAAUUCCAGCUCCAAUAGCGUAUAUUAAAGUUGUUGCAGUUAAAAAGCUCGUAGUUGAAUUUCGGGGUCAGUAGGUUGGUCAUGCCACUGGUAUGUACUGGUCUCACUGAUUCCUCCUUCCUGAUGAGCCGUAAUGCCAUUAAUUUGGUGUUGCGAGGAAUCUGGACUGUUACUUUGAAAAAAUUAGAGUGUUUAAAGCAGGCUAACGCUUGAAUACAUUAGCAUGGAAUAAUGAAAUAGGACGUUCGAUCUUAUUUUGUUGGUUUCUAAGAUUGACGUAAUGAUUAAUAGGGAUAGUUGGGGGCAUUAGUAUUCAAUUGUCAGAGGUGAAAUUCUUGGAUUUAUUGAAGACUAACUACUGCGAAAGCAUUUGCCAAGGAUGUUUUCAUUAAUCAAGAACGAAAGUUAGGGGAUCGAAGACGAUCAGAUACCGUCGUAGUCUUAACCAUAAACUAUGCCGACUAGGGAUCGGAUGAUGUUAAUUUUUUAAUGACUCAUUCGGCGCCUUACG